AGUUCAAAAGCAAAAAUAUUUUAAUUCAGUAAUUCUAAAUUUGUUAAACUAAAAAACUAUCAAAAAUAAUUCAAAACACAAUUUUUUCUAAUAGUAUUUUUUUAGAUAAUACUUUGUCUGACAACAAUAUAGACUAAAGAAUAACCAGAGAAGCUCUUAGGUAUCAUUUGGUUCGGGAAUAAGCAAAAAGUGGGUAUUCCAGGAAUAGGUAUAAAUUGAGGUAUAAGCAGGGAUUAGAUUAAUUUUGCGUUUGGAUGAAAAUUGGGUUAUUCCUGGGAAUAAGAAAAAUAACGUUUGGUUAGGUAAGAUGGAAUAAGAUUUAAAGUGGGUAAUUAUAAAUAAAAAUUAAUAAUAUUAUCACUUUUUUAUUUAUAUUAGAAUUUAAAUUUUUAUAUUUUAUAUUUAUAUUUUAAAAUUUAAAAUUUUAACUUUUAAAUUUCAAAUUUUGAAAUUAAAAUUUAAAAUUUAAAAUCUCAAAUUUUAAAUUCAAAAUUUAAAUUUUAAAUUUCUAACUUUAAAUUUAAGAUCAAAUUU
This 534-nucleotide long non-coding RNA is filed under the name Ananas comosus (pineapple). RNAcentral's name for it is "long non-coding RNA (ACOM_LNC008123)". The record is from RNAcentral. Lineage: Eukaryota; Viridiplantae; Streptophyta; Magnoliopsida; Poales; Bromeliaceae.